CCACAGGACCGAGACUUUGUAGCCAAGCAGAAGGAAGACCUGGAGCUGGCCAUGAAGAAGCUCACGGCAGAAAACAGGCGUGAGAUCUGUGACAAGGAACGUGAUUGCCUUAACAAGAAGCAGGAGCUCCUCCGAGACCGAGAGGCAGCCCUGUGGGAGAUGGAGGAGCACCAGUUACAGGAGAGACAUCAGCUGGUGAAGCAGCAGCUUAAGGACCAGUACUUCCUGCAGCGGCAUGACCUGCUGCGCAAGCACGAGAAGGAGCGGGAGCAGAUGCAGCGCUACAACCAGCGUAUGAUGGAGCAGCUGAAGGUCAGACAGCAGCAGGAGAAGGCGCGGCUACCCAAGAUCCAGAGGAGUGACGGCAAGACCCGCAUGGCCAUGUACAAGAAGAGCCUGCACAUCAAUGGUGCGGGCAGUGCCUCCGAGCAGCGGGAGAAGGUCAAGCAGUUCUCCCAGCAGGAAGAGAAGAGGCAGAAGGCGGAGAGGCUGCAGCAGCAGCAGAAACACGAGAACCAGAUGCGAGACAUGGUGGCACAGUGCGAGAGCAACAUGAACGAGCUGCAGCAGCUGCAGAAUGAAAAGUGUCAUCUGUUAGUGGAGCAUGAAACCCAGAAGCUGAAGGCCCUGGACGAGAGCCAUAACCAGAGCCUGAAGGAAUGGCGAGACAAGCUUCGGCCACGCAAAAAGGCCCUGGAAGAGGAUUUGAACCAGAAGAAGCGGGAACAGGAAAUGUUCUUCAGACUAAGUGAGGAGGCAGAGACCAGACCCACCACACCCAACAGAGCCAGCAAGUUCUUCCCCUACAGCUCUGGGGAUGCUUCCUAACACACACAUGCCUGGGCUGCGGUGCGGCAGUACAGCCACCAGGGCCACCAACCCUCUACAAACAAGUGACUCAGGACCUCUUCCUCUUGCUUCUGUGCCAGCUCCAACUACCCAGCACCCCAGUUGCCCACAGCACCACCCCAGUGCUUCUGAUGGAUGACCUCAUCCCAACUCAGAUUCCCAUCACCUGGAAGUGACCUGGGCUGUUGGGGUCCGGGACCGAGCGGGAUGGGCGUACCCCUCCUGUUUGCCAAAACACCAGCUCUACUGUCUGUGGGCACAAGCGCUACUGAUGACAUCACCACGAACCCAUCCUUAUUGUGAUCCUUGUGGUUUUUUCUUCUCCUUCAGUAAUUCCUCACAGUGUU
RNAcentral lists this long non-coding RNA (1196 nucleotides) under Rattus norvegicus (Norway rat). Its description in RNAcentral is "long non-coding RNA NONRATT004147". The record is from RNAcentral. Lineage: Eukaryota; Metazoa; Chordata; Mammalia; Rodentia; Muridae.